UAUUUUUUUCUCAUUCUCUGCUCUACUUUGGAGCUGUGGAAAACCGAAGAGAAACAGGGCAAGAGAGAGAGAGAGAGAGAUAGAGACAGAGAGUUCAAGAGCUCAAGAUGGAGCUCACGGAUGAGGGGGACAGAAAAGAACGAGACUUGAUGAAGGGGGUGAAUAGAAUCGAGCUGGGAAGUGGUAAUAUAGAGCUGAAACAGUGGUGCCGACUGCAGAGGUGAAAUUCUACAGAAACGGAUAAAUGAACGGGUGCUUCGGGAGUCGAUCAAGAGAUAAGUUUCUAGCUGUGCGAGAGAACCAUUUAUGAUAUCGGGGAUCAGCUUGGAGAACUAGGUAAAGACCUUAGUUAUUUGAUAGCUAUUCUUUUUGUAUAGAUUGUAUUUGAAAAUGUGAUGACCUGAAACUUUUGUUUAGUUGGUUUAAUGAUGUAACUCUGCUAAAAUUAUAUUUAUAUAAAUAUAUAUGUGAGAGCUUACUGGAUUAGUUAUAUGUUUUUGAGAGUUAUGGAAAUCAUGUUUUAUAUGAA
This is a non-coding RNA of Punica granatum (pomegranate), 529 nucleotides long. NCBI's taxonomy places the organism in Eukaryota, Viridiplantae, Streptophyta, Magnoliopsida, Myrtales, Lythraceae. The record is from RefSeq and is a predicted model, not a curated record.